CAACAUCGGUCCAAUCCUUAAAGUCAUCCUCAGUUCGGACUGGGGUCUGCAACCCGACCCCACGAAGCUGGAUUCGCUAGUAAUCGCGCAUCAGCCAUGGCGCGGUGAAUACGUUCCCGGGCCUUGUACACACCGCCCGUCAAGCCAUGAAAGCCGGGGGCGCCUGAAGUCCGUGACCGCGAGGGUCGGCCUAGGGUGAAACCGGUGAUUGGGGCUAAGUCGUAACAAGGUAAC
RNAcentral lists this ribosomal RNA (234 nucleotides) under uncultured bacterium. Its description in RNAcentral is "partial 16S ribosomal RNA". It matches the Rfam family "Bacterial small subunit ribosomal RNA", at positions 1258 to 1500 of the family's 1533-position model. The record is from RNAcentral.